RNAcentral lists this long non-coding RNA (844 nucleotides) under Anas platyrhynchos platyrhynchos (common mallard). RNAcentral's name for it is "lncRNA (ENSAPLG00000028466.1)". Lineage: Eukaryota; Metazoa; Chordata; Aves; Anseriformes; Anatidae. The record is from RNAcentral.
GACUUACCCAUCCCGAGUAAAUUCACCUUGAUCUCGUCACUGAGGAACUGAUGGGAAAAUGAGGUCAGGUGGUGAGAACCAUGAAAAGAAACAGCAUACACAGAUGGAGCUGCAUUCCUAUUUUUUGCAUCUACUUUCUGAUACCCGGGUCUUUCUGCUCAUGUUUGAAAGCCGGUGUGGAUGAUGUUCCGGCAAGGAGAAGGCAAUGCUUUUUCCCUGGAAAUAGCUCAGCAACAGUAUCCUUCAGUGAAAGGAAUUUUCACCUCUGGAAAGUUAACACCGUUUUAAUCCCAGGUAAGAUUUCCUGCAUUUGCCAUGAACUACCUGAGAGGGUUUUUUGGCUAUGAACAAGAGAGACCUCCAUGAUUACUUCAUGUCAGCUUGAGUGCAAACCCCAGGAAAUAUGUCACAGAAGCUAAAAACAUCAGUUUUUCAGAAGUGACACCAUUUUAUUACAUGUAAUCUCUGCUUAAUUAGUUGGUCUCUGUGCUACCAUUGACACAAAUAUAAAACAGUCCGCCUGUUUAAAUUUCACUGUUGUUGACACAAGUGGGAAGGGUAUUCUGAGUCCGGGUUUCUAAUGAGGAUUUGUCUUAGGCCAGCUAAAGUGGACCUGGAUUUCAUUUCUCUGGUUUGUUUCAACAGUUGUCUCCAUUACAUGCUAUAAUUCCUGCAUGUAGCCCUUUCAACCUGGCAUAAGGACAAUAGGUAAUUCAAAUAUCUAUAUUGUCCCUGCACCCUAUAAUGGUAUUACAAUGACAAUUUUAUUACUCUCAUAAAAUUUUUGCAACUUCCCCACAGCACAUUGUAAUUUCACCAAUGGUUGUAAAAGGUCUUAAAUUAU